GACGAACGCUGGCGGCGUGCUUAACACAUGCAAGUCGAACGGAAAGGCCCUGCUUUUGUGGGUUGCUCGAGUGGCGAACGGGUGAGUAACACGUGAGUAACCUGCCCUUGACUUUGGGAUAACUUCAGGAAACUGGGGCUAAUACUGGAUAUGAGCUCCUGCUGCAUGGUGGUGGUUGGAAAGUUUCGGCGGUUGGGGAUGGACUCGCGGCUUAUCAGCUUGUUGGUGGGGUAGUGGCUUACCAAGGCUUUGACGGGUAGCCGGCCUGAGAGGGUGACCGGCCACAUUGGGACUGAGAUACGGCCCAGACUCCUACGGGAGGCAGCAGUGGGGAAUAUUGCACAAUGGGCGGAAGCCUGAUGCAGCAACGCCGCGUGCGGGAUGACGGCCUUCGGGUUGUAAACCGCUUUCGCCUGUGACGAAGCGUGAGUGACGGUAAUGGGUAAAGAAGCAACGGCUAAAUACGUG
Molecule: ribosomal RNA, 468 nt
Filed under: uncultured bacterium
Lineage: Bacteria
Description: partial 16S ribosomal RNA
Rfam family: Bacterial small subunit ribosomal RNA
Source: RNAcentral